CCUACGGGAGGCAGCAGUGAGGAAUAUUGGUCAAUGGACGAGAGUCUGAACCAGCAAAGUAGCGUGAAGGAUGACUGCCCUAUGGGUUGUAAACUUCUUUUAUAAAGGAAUAAAGCGAGGCACGUGUGCCGUUUUGCAUGUACUUUAUGAAUAAGGAUCGGCUAACUCCGUGCCAGCAGCCGCGGUAAUACGGAGAAUCCGAGCGUUAUCCGGGUUUAUUGGGUUUAAAGGAAGCGUAGAUGGGUUGUUAAGUCAGUUGUGAAAGUUUGCGGCUCAACCGGAAAACUGCAAUUGAUACUGGCAGUCUUGAGUACAGUUGAGGUAGGCGGAAUUCGUUGUGUAGCGGUGAAAUGCGUAGAUAUCACGAAGAACCCCGAUUGCGAAGGCAGAUUACUAAACUGUGACUGACAUUGAUGCUCGAAAGUGUGGGUAUCAAACAGGAUUAGAUACCCGGGUAGUC
Molecule: ribosomal RNA, 460 nt
Filed under: uncultured bacterium
Lineage: Bacteria
Description: partial 16S ribosomal RNA
Rfam family: Bacterial small subunit ribosomal RNA
Source: RNAcentral